CAAUCCAAAACUAACAAGCAGAAUAAAAUAAAUGAAAAAGCAACAAAUAUUGAAAUAUCAAACAAGUAAAGAUCAUUGACUCGUGCUAACACAGUGACACAGUACCAGCGCGUGUCCUUGCAUAUACCAAAAUUGAAAGAAAACUUUUAACUCCAAUUCUUGGAAAACUGGUCUUCAUUCUAACAGAGAGUUUGUGGCGUUCGGUCAUCAGUGCUUAAACUGAGCGAUACCUUGAGUCUUAUUCCUUACGUCCCAGGCGAUAGACCAUCUUCUACCAUUUGGCGAGCUAUCACUAACCCACUUACACCUUCGUGGAGUUUAUCUUCUCUUUAUGUGUAGGUAUGGGCUUUUUGAUAGGAAACAACGCCUUCAUCAAUUUUCGGAACGAUGAAUGAAUUGAUGGCAUUGUCCUCAAAUUGGCCUUCCCCCAAUUUUUCGCUCUAACCAUCAACAAAUUCG
RNAcentral lists this long non-coding RNA (459 nucleotides) under Theobroma cacao (cacao). RNAcentral's name for it is "long non-coding RNA (TCAC_LNC004070)". The record is from RNAcentral. Lineage: Eukaryota; Viridiplantae; Streptophyta; Magnoliopsida; Malvales; Malvaceae.